This 437-nucleotide ribosomal RNA is filed under the name uncultured Lachnospiraceae bacterium. RNAcentral's name for it is "bacterial SSU rRNA". It matches the Rfam family "Bacterial small subunit ribosomal RNA", at positions 341 to 792 of the family's 1533-position model. The record is from RNAcentral. Lineage: Bacteria; Bacillati; Bacillota; Clostridia; Lachnospirales; Lachnospiraceae.
ACGGGAGGCAGCAGUGGGGAAUAUUGGGCAAUGGGCGAAAGCCUGACCCAGCGACGCCGCGUGAGGGAAGAAGGUCUUCGGAUUGUAAACCUUAGUCAACAGGGAAGAAGCAAGUGACGGUACCUGUGGAGGAAGCCACGGCUAACUACGUGCCAGCAGCCGCGGUAAUACGUAGGUGGCGAGCGUUAUCCGGAUUUACUGGGUGUAAAGGGAGCGUAGACGGCAAGGUAAGUCUGAAGUGAAAUGCCGGGGCUCAACCCCGGAACUGCUUUGGAAACUAUCUCGCUCGAGUACCGGAGGGGUAAGCGGAAUUCCUAGUGUAGCGGUGAAAUGCGUAGAUAUUAGGAGGAACACCAGUGGCGGAGGCGGCUUACUGGACGGUAACUGACGUUGAGGCUCGAAAGCGUGGGGAGCAAACAGGAUUAGAUACCCUGGUA